Molecule: ribosomal RNA, 1927 nt
Filed under: Trachelomonas sp.
Lineage: Eukaryota; Euglenozoa; Euglenophyceae; Euglenales; Euglenaceae
Description: SSU rRNA
Rfam family: Eukaryotic small subunit ribosomal RNA
Source: RNAcentral
AGUGCGGAUGGCAACAGUGCCAGUUGCCCAUUUGGACAUCCUCGAUAACCUCGUGGCUAAUACACGCAAGCAACAGUCUGCCAUGACUGUGACUCGCCUUGGCUUCGGCCUUGGUGGGAGCACAUGGUGGAUUGCAACCAGCUGAGUGCAAGACCAGCGCCAGUCAAUGGCAGUGUGGCAGCUGAGUCAGGCUGGUCCCUAGUGGACAACUGCUCUGGAGGUGCAAAGUGAAAGCUGAGCAUAUGCCUCUUGAUCACACGAACUUCUGACCUAUCAGCUUCGACUGUGGUAUAGGGGACCACAGUGGCCUUCACAGGUGACGGAGAAUUUGGGUUCGAUUCCGGAGAGGGAGCCUGAGAGACGGCUACCACUACCAAGGUGGGCAGCAGGCGCGCAAAUUGCCCAAUACAGGAACAGCUUGUGAGGCAGCGACGAACUGCAGCAAUCCUGCUGGCAACUCUGUCAGCAGGACUUGGAAUGGAUGCUAUCCAAACACAGUGAUGAGUAACGACUGGAGGGCAAGUCUGGUGCCAGCAGCUGCGGUAAUUCCAGCUCCAAGGGCGUAUACUAACAUUGCUGCUGUUAAAGCACUUGUAGUCGGCUACUGGGCUGCAGGUCUGCUGGGUGGCCAUUGGUCCGAGGUGUCGUCCUGGGUAACUCCUUGUGGGUUGCUUGGGGUGCGGCUCCGGAGGCCUUUGGAACACAACCCCUGGCAGUAUGUCCCUGCUCCCGCUUUGUAGAUGGUGAGAACCAUUGCUCCUGCUCAAAGGCUCCUUCAUUGAAGUCCGAGGCGGUUCUACAGUUGAUGCAUGUCUGAGCACUAUAGAGGUUGUAUCCAACGAGCACCUCUGCUCACCACCGGAGUCCACCAUCAUUGUCACCCUGGAUAACUCAGUGUGCUUCAAGCAUCCACUCUUGGCUGGAUGCUCAUCCAUGGAAUGGCAUAGCAUCGACCUAUCUUGGCAACAGAGUUGUGCUGGCCUUGAGGCCUGAUAUGGACAAUGUGGGGCUGUCCCCUGUGUGCGACUGAGACUCUAAGGACUCGCUCCGAGGAGCUAACGGGUGCGCAGUAAGGGCAGUCACCAACCGCAGAUGAUGGGAAUGCUCAGGGUGGAACCUAUUGCAACGCCAGAGGUGAAAUUCUUAGACCGCUGCAGGAGGAACAGCAGCGAAGGCGUUCUGCAAGUCUAUGUUCGUCGAUCAAGAAUGAGAGUGUGGGGAGCAAAGAUGAUCAGACACCGUCGUAGUCCACGACUGUAAACUAUGCCAGCUCAGCCUUGGUGUGGCAUCAUCAGUGACCACAUCAGAGCUAUGCCCCCUUCAACGAGAAAUCCAAGCCUUUGGGUUCAGGGGGGAGUACUGUCGCAAGGCUGGAACUUAAAGGAAUUGACGGAAUGGCACCACAAGGCGUGGAGUAUGCGGCUUAAUUUGACUCAACACGGGGAAUGUUACCAGGUCAGGACCUUGCCAGGAUGGACAGAUUGACAGCUCUUUCUUGAUCCGAGGGAUGGUGGUGCAUGGCCGCUCCUGAUUGGUGGAGUGAUUUGUCUGGUUGAUUCCGAUAACGAGUGAGAUAUCUGCCUUCCAAUAGCCCCAGACUCGCAUCUGUAGGGUGGGCUACAGUGUACCUCCAGUCUGUCCUCGGACAUGGCUGGGAAGGGCACUGCUGGGCUGCCUGAGAGCUCUGGGUAAUCAGCUUCUCUGAGGUGCUGUGUUCGCUGCCAAGUGCACGCAUGCUAGAGCCAACAGCAGGUCUGUGAUGCUCCCAGAUGUCCUGGGCCGCACGCGCACUACAAUGCUUCAGUGAGGGUGUUAUGCUCCCUUGUGGAGCCCUGUCCAGAAGUGGAUGGGAAACCAUGCAAGCCUGAGGCGUGCUGGGGAUAGAUGAUUGCAACUGUCUGCCUUGAACGAGGAAUGCCUAGUAUGC